UGUGAAUGAUGACUUCUUUUUUUUACCCUGACUCUGACAUGGAGGCAAAAAAAACUGAUUUAAUGAGCCUGACAC
Molecule: small nucleolar RNA, 75 nt
Organism: Ictalurus furcatus (blue catfish)
Lineage: Eukaryota; Metazoa; Chordata; Actinopteri; Siluriformes; Ictaluridae
Source: RefSeq, a predicted model, not a curated record